RNAcentral lists this transfer RNA (80 nucleotides) under Candidatus Portnoybacteria bacterium CG23_combo_of_CG06-09_8_20_14_all_37_13. Its description in RNAcentral is "tRNA-Leu". It matches the Rfam family "tRNA". From Rfam's summary of the family: Transfer RNA (tRNA) molecules are approximately 80 nucleotides in length. Their secondary structure includes four short double-helical elements and three loops (D, anti-codon, and T loops). Further hydrogen bonds mediate the characteristic L-shaped molecular structure. tRNAs have two regions of fundamental functional importance: the anti-codon, which is responsible for specific mRNA codon recognition, and the 3' end, to which the tRNAs corresponding amino acid is attached (by aminoacyl-tRNA synthetases). tRNAs cope with the degeneracy of the genetic code in two manners: having more than one tRNA (with a specific anti-codon) for a particular amino acid; and 'wobble' base-pairing, i.e. permitting non-standard base-pairing at the 3rd anti-codon position. The record is from RNAcentral. Lineage: Bacteria; Candidatus Portnoyibacteriota.
GCCUCCGUGGCGGAAUUGGCAGACGCGCACGGUUUAGGACCGUGUCCUUACGGGUAGAGGUUCAAGUCCUCUCGGAGGCA